AUGUUGCAGACCUUUUCUGAUUGCAUGGCACAGAAGCAUCCGAUAUCUGUGAUCACAGAUGGGGACCUUGCAAUGCAGAGAGCAAUAAGGGUGGUCUGGCCAGACACAAACCAUAGACUAUGUAUAUGGCACAUUCAGCAGAACAUUGUACGCCAUCUACAUGAUGACGACGUAAAGGAGGAAUUCAGAUCUUUCAUUUAUGAUACUUCUUCCAUUGAAGAGCAUGAGAUAAAAUGGAUACAAUUCUUACAACGGAAUAAAGUAACCAGUGAGGAGUCUUGGCUGCAUCAGAUGUAUCAGAUGAGAAAGUUGUGGUGUGCUCCAUAUCUUGAGGGGCGUUGUUUCCUAGGAUUGAGCAGCAAUCAGAGGAGUGAGAGCUUGAACUCUGUGCUACAUACGCAUCUUGAGGGUAAGAUGUCGUUGUUUGAAAUGCUAGAGCACUAUGAGCGUUGCCUUGCGUCGCGACGGAUUAAUGAAGCUCUCCAUGACGUCGAAGCCUUGCAGUCCGUUCCAUUUACAGAG
Molecule: ribosomal RNA, 522 nt
Filed under: Triticum aestivum (bread wheat)
Lineage: Eukaryota; Viridiplantae; Streptophyta; Magnoliopsida; Poales; Poaceae
Description: partial small subunit ribosomal RNA
Source: RNAcentral